Long non-coding RNA from Oryzias melastigma (Indian medaka), 1383 nucleotides. RefSeq lists it as uncharacterized. Lineage: Eukaryota; Metazoa; Chordata; Actinopteri; Beloniformes; Adrianichthyidae. The record is from RefSeq and is a predicted model, not a curated record. The transcript is spliced from 2 exons.
ACUGAGGUGGUAAUAUGUGGCUCCCCAAAGUUUAUUCUAUACAUGGAGUUUCAUAGCUUUGUGAUGUUAAAGUUCCUGUUCACAUUGUUUUACUAAGACUGCAAUAUCCACAGUAUCUUUUUAAAAUCUGAAUUUACAUUGGGAGUUUAGAAAUUUUAUCUUCCACGACCAUUCACUGAUUUUUUUCAUAAUUCCCGUUACAGAUUUUGUUUUCAGACUCAGAAGAGGCUCCAGGACGUCAACAUCUGCUAUGGAAACUGGAUGCUAUAGAGAAUGCACAGAACUAUAUGCACCCCUUGUGGUAGAAGACCACAAUGACUCUGGCAGUGAAGAGGACCGCAGUGAUGCUCAAAGUAUUGCUGAGUAAGAAAAUUCUUCGUAAAGACAGCUGUUUUUUCUGUUGUGUUAUUUUGUCAUUAACUAACAGGACUAUUAUUCACCCUCUGGCAGGGUGGUAAAGCCGUCGGUAUCAGAGAUCAUCACAAACCUGAGACUGCAGAUCAAUCUCCACGCUGUCAGCAGAUUUAACAUCUGCCGCUCCAACUUUUGGGAUGGCGCAGUGAGAGGUUUCAAAAGGGGGACAUUCUCUGAAGCUAAUGACCUCCUUGUGAAGUUCUCUGAUGAUGAUGGUAGAUUUGAGGAAGGUCUAGAUACAGGGGGUCCAAAAAGAGAAUUCCUCUCCCUUCUGAUGAAAAGUCUGAACAAACGACCAAUAUUUGAUGGUCCUGAAGACAGGAGGUGUCUUGUCUACAAUUCCACAGGUAUAGUUUUGUGGUGACUCUUUCAGAAGAAACAGGACAUCAGUAGUGCAGGGUUUAUGUGUGGAAAGCAAUUUAAAAUGUUCCUUUUUUUGAGCAGCAAUCAGAGAGGAUGAAUAUAGAUUGGCAGGAAAGAUGGUUGCCACAUCUAUUGUACAUGGCGGACAUGGUCCUAGCUUUCUGUCAAGGGACUUGGUCAACUGCAUCUCAGGGCAAUCGAGUUUCAAUCCAUCUAUUGGAGACAUCACAGAUGGAGAAAUAGGGAAAGUGCUACAUAUGAGGGUCAUCAAUCAGAUUCUUAUCAUUUUGGAGUAAAGAAAAUUUUGGAAAGGUAGCAGGUUUGUCUCCUUACUAUUGUUUAUCACAACUCUGUGGUAUCUUGUACGACUACUCGAACCUAAAAUGAUCAACACACAUUCCACUUUUAGAUUGAAGAUGCAUCAGCAUUAGACAUACUGCAGGACCUGAUUUUCAACCAUACCACCAUGUUGCAGACAGCAGGGUCUUUGAAACGUGUUCUCAGUAGAGGAAAAACACGUCAUUGUGAAAGACUACCUUAAGUGGUACAUAAUUGACAGGAACUGCACAGCAAUUCAAAGGUAGGCUAUCUUAUUUAAAUUCUAGU